Molecule: unclassified non-coding RNA, 3358 nt
Filed under: Leishmania donovani
Lineage: Eukaryota; Euglenozoa; Kinetoplastea; Trypanosomatida; Trypanosomatidae
Description: gene:LdHU3.35.1420(CDS-product:hypothetical_prote in_conserved)
Source: RNAcentral
GGGGGGCGCGUCUGUGUCCUUUACACGCCGCACUCAGUAGUCUCUUGCCUUUGCAUAGAUUGGUGUAGCCGGCACACGCACACAUACACGCGCCUCAGCUCUUCUUUUGUUUGCAUUGCUGCGCGUCUGGGCUUCCGUUGGGAAGAGAGGAAGGAGAGUGGUCCGCGUGUGCGUCUGCAUCCCUCCGGCGACUCCUGUAAGCGCUUUCUAUCGCCUUUCACUCUGAUACCCAGUCGUACAACGGAUUGCCUGUGUCCACGUUUAUGCGUUUGUUCUUUUUUUUUACCCUAUCUUAGAAGCACACCUGCACACAUACACCUACAUCUUUCGCAUAGACAUUCUCAUACAUACCAGCCGCGGAACGCAGUGCCUCCUCAUCCACCGCUGCACGUGGGUCCGAAUCAUUCUUUUUUCUGUUAGACGUCCCUCCUCCACACACACGCAUACACCUUAUCUUCUCUGUCGUUUGGCAAAGUGCGCCUUGUUUACCGCUUCUCGCGCACGGUGCCUGCAUACCGGCCUCGCGAGUCGUCUAGAGGACGCGCAGUAGAUUGCUCACCCUAUCUCUUCUGUGGCGCGGUCCGUUUCCUGGAGCCGACUAUAGCACCAUGCCUCCUCCGCCAUCGGUCAACACGAAGCGGGGAGCGGUGGACGCUAAGGCCCACCAUGAAAACGUCGUCGCCGUCUCCCCGUGUGAGACGGAGUCGAUGGCGCUGACCAACGCCACCACAACUACUGCCACGACCGGACGCCGCAGCGCCAGCACCGGUAGCGGCAAGGGUCGAGGCAGCGCUAACACACUGCGUGAAGCCUCGACGAUCAAUUCUUCCAUUGGGCCCCUUUCCCCAACACCCGUGAUGACGGCCACGUCACCGUCGCUCGCCUCUGCAACCACCUCUGCCACUGGUGCGCGCAAACGAGCACGCGAAUCGGCGGAGCGCGGCAGCACCAUUCGUCAUUCGCAAGGUGGUCGCAGCCCCAGUGCCCCGGCAACAACUGGGGGGCUGGCGCGGCACCUCCUGCAGCGUCCGCGCCGCUCGGGAUCAUUUGGCAGUGACGGCCGCCGUAUAAGUGGUACUCCUCAGCUGGUGCGCGACCCGAAUAUGUGUGCUGAGCUGGACGAGGAGGGUGUCUUCUUUGAGACCACGACGACAAGAGCCUCCCCUGCGCACCUGCAACGCACACCCACCUCGCAGCUUUUGAGCCAGCAGCAGGCGCCCCCCUACUCGGCACUUUCUGAGAGCCGGGACGCGGCACCGCAGGAGCCUGCUGUCGAGCAGGCACUCUUCACGCCUGCCACAGUCGCUCGACGCCCGCAACCUCAGCCCGUCUUUGGAGAGGCACUCCGGUCCUCGCCGUCGUCGACAGCGCCUGCGCCGAGCGCCGUCUCUCCAGCUGCUUCUUCCGCGUCCCGCCCGUCCUCCCACGACGAAGCGGUGCAGGCUAUUUUGCGUGCGAACCCGCCCACGAUGACGCGCCCUGUGCAACUAAAACCGGGGUAUACCGUUCCAAGCCCGCAAACGCCUUUGUGGGCGGCCCUCGAUGCGGAUGAAGACGAGGACCACCAAACGGCACGCGGCAGCGGGCAGGGGUUGGAGGAGCCGCUUCUCAGCAAUACGCAGGCCAGCCUCUUCCAGUUUGGGGACGAGGAGGAAGCAAAGACGAGCGGUGCAGUGAGGACGACCACGCUGGUUGGCGCGCUGCCACACUCUGGGCACGCCUCUAACACCACAAUUGCGACGGUAUCAGCAUUGGGUGUACACGUGCCGACGACGACGCACGAGUGCAGACGCCUUGGCACGCGUGCGGCUGCAAAUGGGAGCAUCAGUCUUCCAGCACCCGGGCGGUCACUGAACUUGCUUGACGAAGAUGGUCUCCAUGAUGACGAGCGUCUUCCCGUGUUCGUUGGGAUGGACGGCGACAGCCAAGGCGGUGAUACCGACGGCAUGGCCUUCUCGCUGACGCAGGAGGCGAAUCGGCAGGAACGAGCUCAAGAUAUGCAGGCUGUCCUGCCCCGAUCGCGCGCUUACCGUGGUGCUGCAGCUGCUCAGGCAUCCGCCACCACGAUGUUGCACGCUGGCAAGCUCGGUAGUGCGAACAUGUCCACACCAAGUCCGGCCCGUCAGCGCGCAGCGCGCACCUCUCUCAGCAUAGCUCAGCAGCGGGCAAGUCCAUACAGCCAACUACAGCGGGACGUGGAGAGUAAUAUGGCAGCGGCGGCAGCAGGAGCAGCGAGUGAGAGGCACACCACGGCCCCUGCCGCAGAUGUGAAGCCUGCCGGGGUGCUCUCGCAGAAGGAGCUGCGGCGGAGGGCCGACAUGCUGAAGUGGGCGGAGCGCACACGCGCCUUUUUUCACUUCAUCGAUGCGCGUCCGCUGCACGUCACCGCAUCUCCGCUGAAGCCUCCACCACCAACUUCCUCACAACCGCGCCGAGGCUACCACAGCCAGAGCGGCGUAACCGAUUAUCAUCGCGGAAGCAUCGGGACAGUGCAGCCACGCAAGAGCCGCACGGCCGCAGCCUCGAUGAGCCUCGUUCGUCGCAGCCACAGUGCAAGUGCUGCCCCAGCCGUGCUGUCGCCGUCUGUCGCUGCGCGCCGCAGCAGCAGCGCCUUCGAGGCUGUCAUUUCGCGAGUGAAGCGAGCGGCAGCAGCAGCGUCGAAAACGACUCGCUCCACUUCUGCCAAGUAGCGCAGCGGCAGCGCGACACGCAGUGUCGGCGACGGAGUCUUAAACGGGCGUGUAUACGCAGGCAUGUGUCCACGCGCACGCUGGGCUCGCUUUAUUCUGUGCUUUGCUCUUGGAGUUCUUUGUGGCGAUGUUGCACCCUUCCACGCCUCCUCUGCUCCUUGCCUCUUGUGGUUCCCUCGAACGCCUCUCCGCCAUUCCUCCCUCGUGCGUGGGGUGCACAACCACCUCCUCGAAUGCGCGAAGCGUAGACACUGAAACGCGUGGAAUGAGCGAAAUGCAUGAAGAUCCGCCCGGCGCGUGUGUGCCCUGUAUCUUUCAUUCCGUUUGUGUGCGUGUGUGUGUGUGUGUGUGUUUUGUCUUUCGACAGAGUGUCUUGUGACAGGCCAAGGAGGGCCCGCAAGAUGCAAGAGAGAGCGGACAGGAGAUGAGACGUAGCUGUGGCAUGCCUUCAUCUGGUAGGUUUCCAGGGUGUUCCUGAUGCUGCUCCUCUGGCGUCAGUGGCGCAUGCGUAGGAACGCACGUGUGAUUCGAUGUUGCCCUCCUUUAUUUUGUUCGUGUGCUGUUUCCCCGCCACCCUCCGUUGAUCCUCCUGGUGCGUCAUGUCAAGAGGAUCAAGUUGAAGUGCGCUUUGUCUGGUCUGUACUCGUAAACCAAAGCCGCGUCCCUCG